GUGUCAGCAGCCGUGGUAAUACAGAGGGUGCGAGCGUUAAUCGGAUUUACUGGGCGUAAAGCGUGCGCAGGCGGUUGUGAAAGACCGAUGUGAAAUCCCCGAGCUUAACUUGGGAAUUGCAUUGGUGACUGCACGGCUAGAGUGUGUCAGAGGGGGGUAGAAUUCCACGUGUAGCAGUGAAAUGCGUAGAGAUGUGGAGGAAUACCGAUGGCGAAGGCAGCCCCCUGGGAUAACACUGACGCUCAUGCACGAAAGCGUGGGGAGCAAACAGGAUUAGAAACCCUCGUAGUCC
RNAcentral lists this ribosomal RNA (292 nucleotides) under uncultured Ralstonia sp. Its description in RNAcentral is "partial 16S ribosomal RNA". It matches the Rfam family "Bacterial small subunit ribosomal RNA", at positions 505 to 796 of the family's 1533-position model. The record is from RNAcentral. Lineage: Bacteria; Pseudomonadati; Pseudomonadota; Betaproteobacteria; Burkholderiales; Burkholderiaceae.